UACGAAGGGGGCGAGCGUUGUUCGGAUUUACUGGGCGUAAAGGGCGCGCAGGCGGCCGCAUUUGUCAGGCGUGAAAGCCCCGGGCUUAACCUGGGAACUGCGUUUGAUACGGUGUGGCUAGAGUUCGGGAGAGGAGAGUGGAAUUCCCAGUGUAGAGGUGAAAUUCGUAGAUAUUCGCAAGAACACCAGUGGCGAAGGCGGCUCACUGGCCCGAUACUGACGCUGAGGCACGAAAGCGUGGGGAGCAAACAGG
This 253-nucleotide ribosomal RNA is filed under the name uncultured bacterium. RNAcentral's name for it is "partial 16S ribosomal RNA". It matches the Rfam family "Bacterial small subunit ribosomal RNA", at positions 524 to 776 of the family's 1533-position model. The record is from RNAcentral.